This is a long non-coding RNA of Hippoglossus stenolepis (Pacific halibut), 779 nucleotides long. RefSeq lists it as uncharacterized. The transcript is spliced from 3 exons. NCBI's taxonomy places the organism in Eukaryota, Metazoa, Chordata, Actinopteri, Pleuronectiformes, Pleuronectidae. The record is from RefSeq and is a predicted model, not a curated record.
CUCAUCCAUCCAUCUAUCAUCCAUCACCCAGACUAGAGUAGACACUUGUUGCGGCAUAAAACCAAAGUGUGUUAUUUCACUGUUUCCAGUCACAAACCUUCUCUGACCUCCGAUCAAUGGUUUUCUGAGGCAGCAGCAACAUGUGACCCAUCAAAAACCAGUGAACACAUCACAUCCGCAAACACGCGGCUUUCUGUUCCCACCAGCCGACCCCGACUGUUCCUCUGACCCUGGACACACAUCUACACAAUGUGAUGACAUACUGUGACGGGGCAACAAGUGGCUUGUGCUAAAGGUCUGGGAACUAAAAACAACAACAACUCAGCCAAGUUUGGGAGGAAAAACUCUCCGGAGACGGUUGGAAAACACACAAAAUGGAAGAUUUACAACCCGGAGAGAGGAACACAUGCUGAGAAGUGAAUAAAGAGAGAAAAUCCAAGAAAUGGGAGGAGGAGGACGAAUAAGAUGGAGAGAAGGAGGAAAGGAGACGUAUUGUGCACCACAAUGAAGGACAAAUGAGAGCGAACAGGAUGAGGAGGACGACGAGAGGAGGACGGAAAAAAGAAAGUGUAAAUAAUCCCCGCAGGUAAAGAGACAAUGAGAAGGACGGGAAUCACGGGUCAGGCGGAGGAAGACGAUCAGCGGGACGCACCACUUGCAGACUUCUGCUACGAGGAGUGACACAGCAAAAAAAGGGCGUCCACUUCCCUAAACUGCUUCAACAAGCUGCUGCUUCACAAACAACACUGACUCAGCGACAACGCAACAUUUCAAUCAGG